UGUCUAUGUUCCCAUGUUUUUAGAAUCUUUAGCUGAAGUCCGUACAAUAAUCCCAUGUCUUUUAGGCUCAUAUUUGGUACACCUGUCUGGAAGAGAGCAUUUUUUUUUAAAAUGAUUUCAGCCAUAUGAGGAUACGGUUCAUAUACAAGAAGAAUAUGGCUUCUUUUAAAAAUUCAAUUGAUGUUACUCUCUCUUUAACGCCUAUACUUGGCGCAGUUGAUUUUGUUUUGACUGGUUUUUAUAUAUAAUACCAAUCACACUCAUCGUUGUUGGUGGAUUUAACCAGGAUUCAGAUGUUCAGUUCUGUUAGUUUAUUGUAAUGUCUUUGUGAAAAGGGUACAUAGCCAACCGCCAUUGAUCUGUGUAAGCAUCAGAUGGUAGAAUCAAGCUGAAAAAUGACUAAUACCAUGUCAUUACUGUAGACAAUAUAGAGUAUAGACUACUAGACAAGUCUGCAUAUUACAUUUUUGGACCAGAUUGUAGCCAUGCUUUUAUAAAUGUCUUGAGUAGAAGUCAGGAUGAGUAUUGUUUAAAUUACCUCCAAGCAAGAAGCAUUCAUUUUCAUAGCUUAGAGACCUUUUCUUAAACUCUCAAUUUAGGUUACUUGUCAUAUUGUUGGAUGCUGUUUUUUCUCUUCUUCACUUCAGUUUCAGCUGCACCUGCCUUUCACCAUUUUGUAAAGGAAAGAUCAUCAGAGUAUGAGCCUGAUCAUGGUGGCCGAUAUUUAUUUAUUUUUGCCUCGCCUCAUAUUGAAGUAUUGUUUUUGCUUUAGGAAACCACGAAGAAAGGUGGCCAGGGUGAAAUUACGAUCCUUGUAGUUGAAAUUGACUUGGACAUUUAAAGUGCAAACAUUAUCAUAAUUGAGGAUGUUCUACAACUCAGCCUUGACCUGUUGUAUCAGGUCAAGCACCGUCUGCAUAGUUUAGUUGAUUGGUUCUCUGCUGUAGCAGACAAGUAACAGGACUAAACUGAGCUGUUAAGCCUUAAAGUUCUAAAUGGAGGUCAAGCAUGUUAAAAAUGUCUGUGUGAAAUUAAUAAAACUGAAAGCCAUGAAGCUUGGUAUGAUACGUCGUUGGAUAUAAAUAUUUGAAGAAGCAGCUAAUGAAAA
Long non-coding RNA from Gossypium arboreum, 1108 nucleotides. RefSeq lists it as uncharacterized. The record is from RefSeq and is a predicted model, not a curated record. NCBI's taxonomy places the organism in Eukaryota, Viridiplantae, Streptophyta, Magnoliopsida, Malvales, Malvaceae. The transcript is spliced from 2 exons.